RNAcentral lists this ribosomal RNA (326 nucleotides) under uncultured eukaryote. RNAcentral describes it as "partial 18S ribosomal RNA". It matches the Rfam family "Eukaryotic small subunit ribosomal RNA", at positions 1470 to 1796 of the family's 1831-position model. The record is from RNAcentral.
CCCUUAGAUGUUCUGGGCCGCACGCGCGUUACACUGAUGCAUUCAACAAGCCUAGCCUUGACCGAGAGGUCCGGGUAAUCUUUGAAACUGCAUCGUGAUGGGGCUAGAUUAUUGCAAUUAUUAAUCUUCAACGAGGAAUGCCUAGUAAGCGUGAUUCAUCAAAUCGCGUUGAUUACGUCCCUGCCCUUUGUACACACCGCCCGUCGCUCCUACCGAUUGAAUGUGUUGGUGAGGAGCUCGGAUUGGCAGCAGUUGGUGGUUCGCCACCGGCUAUUGCUGAGAAGUCCUCCAAACCGCCCCAUUUAGAGGAAGGAGAAGUCGUAACA